RNAcentral lists this ribosomal RNA (734 nucleotides) under uncultured eukaryote. RNAcentral's name for it is "SSU rRNA". It matches the Rfam family "Eukaryotic small subunit ribosomal RNA", at positions 671 to 1426 of the family's 1831-position model. The record is from RNAcentral.
GGUGUUUACUGUCGAACUGAACACUCUACCGUUUACUGUCUGGUGGUGCUCUUCACCGAGUGUCACCAGUGGUCGGUACGUUUACUUUGAAAAAAUUAGAGUGCUCAAAGCGGUUUUUACACGACCGAUACUGUUGCAUGGAAUAAUGAAAUAGGACUUUUGUUCUAUUUGUUGGUCUUCGGAACCAAGGUAAUGAUUUAAGAGGGACAGACGGGGGCAUUAGUAUUGCGACGCUAGAGGUGAAAUUCUUGGACCGUCGCAAGACUAACUAAAGCGAAAGCAUUUGCCAAGAAUGUUUUCAUUAAUCAAGAACGAAAGUUAGAGGUUCGAAGGCGAUCAGAUACCGCCCUAGUUCUAACCAUAAACGAUGCCAACCAGCAAUCAGCCUGUGUUCUCUUGAUGACACGGCUGGCGGCUUCCGGGAAACCAAAGUCUUUCGGUUCCAGGGGAAGUAUGGUUGCAAAGCUGAAACUUAAAGGAAUUGACGGAAGGGCACCACCAGGAGUGGAGCCUGCGGCUUAAUUUGACUCAACACGGGGAAACUCACCCGGCCCGGACACUGUGAGGAUUGACAGGUUGAAGCCCUUUCUUGAUUCAGUGGGUGGUGGUGCAUGGCCGUUCUUAGUUGGUGGAGUGAUUUGUCUGGUUAAUUCCGAUAACGAACGAGACUCUAGCCUACUAAUUAGACCGUGGCGUCCUCGUGCCGCCACGGCGCUUCCUAGAGGGACAGACGG